This 253-nucleotide ribosomal RNA is filed under the name uncultured bacterium. RNAcentral's name for it is "partial 16S ribosomal RNA". It matches the Rfam family "Bacterial small subunit ribosomal RNA", at positions 524 to 776 of the family's 1533-position model. The record is from RNAcentral.
UACGUAGGCAGCAAGCGUUGUUCGGAGUUACUGGGCGUAAAGGGUGUGUAGGCGGUUCUUUAAGUUUGGUGUGAAAUCUCCCGGCUCAACUGGGAGGGUGCGCCGAAUACUGAGGGACUAGAGUACGGGAGAGGAAAGUGGAAUUCCUGGUGUAGCGGUGAAAUGCGUAGAUAUCAGGAGGAACACCGGUGGUGUAGACGGCUUUCUGGACCGGUAUUGACGCUGAGGCGCGAAAGCCAGGGGAGCAAACGGG